CGGGGGGAGGGGGCGGGUCCCUCAGCCUGGAUAGUGAGAGGGCACAGGCCAGGCUGAGGGACCCCACUGGUGCAUG
This 76-nucleotide microRNA precursor is filed under the name Myotis davidii. RNAcentral describes it as "mir-9193 microRNA precursor family". It matches the Rfam family "mir-9193 microRNA precursor family". Lineage: Eukaryota; Metazoa; Chordata; Mammalia; Chiroptera; Vespertilionidae. The record is from Rfam by way of RNAcentral.